This 245-nucleotide long non-coding RNA is filed under the name Brassica napus (rape). RNAcentral's name for it is "long non-coding RNA (BNAP_LNC019683)". Lineage: Eukaryota; Viridiplantae; Streptophyta; Magnoliopsida; Brassicales; Brassicaceae. The record is from RNAcentral.
UGGCUGCUGUUGGAUGUACUUUUAUGUUAUCUUAACCGUUGUAGUACGUGUAAUUUGGAUCAUUUUAUUUAGUAGUUUUAUUAGUACGUUUGACUUGGAUAGAUGUAUUAUUUGGUAGGUUUUUGUUACUUCCGUGGGGAUGUCUUACUUGUAUGGUUUUACUUUUUCUCGGAUGGAUGUAUAAGGUUUGUAUGUGGUUUCUUUCACUUGUGUGAUCUCAGAUGUAUAUAAAGGCUUGUUUGGAC